GACAGAGGUGCCGAGCGUUAGGCGGAAUCACUGGGCUUAAAGCGUGUGUAGGCGGACCGUUAAGUACCUUGUGAAAUCCCCCGGCUCAACCGGGGAACGGCUGGGUAUACUGGCGGUCUUGAGCCACCUAGGGGCGAGCGGAACAAGCGGUGGAGCGGUGAAAUGCGUAGAUAUCGCUUGGAACGCCGACGGUAGAAAACGCUGCGCUGGGGGUGUGCUGACGCUGAGGCACGAAAGCCAGGGGAGCGAACGGG
RNAcentral lists this ribosomal RNA (254 nucleotides) under uncultured bacterium. RNAcentral's name for it is "partial 16S ribosomal RNA". It matches the Rfam family "Bacterial small subunit ribosomal RNA", at positions 524 to 776 of the family's 1533-position model. The record is from RNAcentral.